This is a non-coding RNA of Silurus meridionalis, 602 nucleotides long. The record is from the annotation of a RefSeq genome assembly. NCBI's taxonomy places the organism in Eukaryota, Metazoa, Chordata, Actinopteri, Siluriformes, Siluridae.
UCUCUCCUUUAUCUGCUCCUCACGCUGAUCAUCUCUUCACUCAACACCAGAGUCCCAUCACACACGGACACCAUGCUGCCAGCGCUCUGCUCUCUCUUCACUGCUCUCUCAUGUGUCAGUGGUGUGACUGUGGUGACGCAGAAGCCUCCUGUUCUCACACUGACUCAGGGACAGACGGCCACCAUGGACUGUAAUCUGGGGACUGUUACUGAUAGUGCUGCACGCUUUUAUAAACAGGUUCCAGGAGGAGUUCCUCAGUAUGUUAUUGGGAAUUAUCAUGGCUGGAGCUCUCCUUCCUAUGGAUCUGGUUUCUCGUCUCCUAAAUUCACAUCAUCACACUCCUCUAAAUCAGAUUAUAAAUUAAUAAUCAGUAAUGUAGAGGUGGGAGAUUCAGCAUUGUAUUACUGUGGCACAUGGGACAGCUCUGCUAAAGAAAUAGCAGAGGAUUGAGUUCUACACACUGGACUGUAGCUAUGACUGGACCUUCAGUGUGAUUCCUGCUGAAAUCUCUCUUCAGAACUUCAUAAGACUUUCUCCAUGAUCUCUGGAGACACAAAACUGAUGCUGAAUCUAGAUGUUCAGUACAAUCUGUGUCCAACACU